RNAcentral lists this long non-coding RNA (301 nucleotides) under Mytilus galloprovincialis (Mediterranean mussel). Lineage: Eukaryota; Metazoa; Mollusca; Bivalvia; Mytilida; Mytilidae. The record is from RNAcentral.
GGCCAUUUAAAAAACAAUGAGGAUUUUCACUUUCUGUGGUAUAUUUUUUAUAUUAGUUAAGUUUAGAAUUAUAACACAGGUGUUAUAAAAUGCAGGAUAGUCAGGGCUAGCUUGCUGCCAAGUUUCAUGAAGAUAUCUCAAACCACUUCAGAGAAAUGUUUUAAAAACAGGCCAUUUUUGUCAGGAGUGUGACGCUUUUAGCGUGACAUUUAAAAAAUUAGAAAUUUUCAAAGUAGUAUUGAAAAAAGUGGAUCGUUUUUAUGCUAAACGGAAUUAUUUCUGGUAGUUGCUACAUUAUUAG